This 376-nucleotide ribosomal RNA is filed under the name uncultured eukaryote. RNAcentral's name for it is "partial 18S ribosomal RNA". It matches the Rfam family "Eukaryotic small subunit ribosomal RNA", at positions 592 to 976 of the family's 1831-position model. The record is from RNAcentral.
CAAUAGCGUAUAUUUAAGUUGCUGCAGUUAAAAAGCUCGUAGUUGGAUUUCGGGUGGGAAUGGCCGGUCCGCCGUUUCGGUGUGCACUUGCUACGCCCACCUUGCUGCCGGGGACGUGCUCUUGAGUUCACGCUCGGGACACGGAGUCGGCGAGGUUACUUUGAAAAAAUUAGAGUGUUCAAAGCGGGCUUACGCUUGAAUAUAUUAGCAUGGAAUAACACCAUAGGACUCCUGUCCUAUUUCGUUGGUCUCGGGACGGGAGUAAUGAUUAAGAGGAACAGUUGGGGGCAUUCGUAUUUCAUUGUCAGAGGUGAAAUUCUUGGAUUUAUGAAAGACGAACUUCUGCGAAAGCAUUUGCCAAGGAUGUUUUCAUUGA